Molecule: ribosomal RNA, 253 nt
Filed under: uncultured bacterium
Lineage: Bacteria
Description: partial 16S ribosomal RNA
Rfam family: Bacterial small subunit ribosomal RNA
Source: RNAcentral
UACGAAGGGGGCUAGCGUUGCUCGGAAUCACUGGGCGUAAAGCGCACGUAGGCGGACUCUUAAGUCGGUGGUGAAAUCCUGGAGCUCAACUCCAGAACUGCCUUUGAUACUGGGAAUCUAGAGUCCGGGAGAGGUGAGUGGAACUGCGAGUGUAGAGGUGAAAUUCGUAGAUAUUAGGAAGAACACCAGUGGCGAAGGCGGCUCACUGGCCCGGUACUGACGCUGAGGCGCGAAAGCGUGGGGAGCAAACAGG